GCCGGGUUUGGGGUGUUAUAUUUACUUUCUUAUCAGUCUCUCUAGUUAUAUUGACCCCAUGUAUCUUAUUUUCACUAAAUUUAGUCCAAUACCAUGGUGUACGACAUUUACGACCGUACAAAGCCUCAUAAGGUGCCAUUUUGAUUCUCAAUUGAAAGCUAUUAUUGUACACAAUUUCGAUCAGAGGUAAGCAUCGUUCCCAUGCACCUUCGAAUUCGAGAAUACGAUAUCUCAACAUAUCGUCAAGUAUCUGAAUGAUUCGCU
Molecule: long non-coding RNA, 264 nt
Filed under: Gossypium barbadense (sea-island cotton)
Lineage: Eukaryota; Viridiplantae; Streptophyta; Magnoliopsida; Malvales; Malvaceae
Description: long non-coding RNA (GBAR_LNC007416)
Source: RNAcentral